GUGCGAAUGGCUCAAUGGUAGAGCACCGAGAGUAAUGACCUCGGGGGUUGGGGGUUCGAUUCCCUCUUCGCGCG
Molecule: transfer RNA, 74 nt
Filed under: Syntrophobacteraceae bacterium
Lineage: Bacteria; Pseudomonadati; Thermodesulfobacteriota; Syntrophobacteria; Syntrophobacterales; Syntrophobacteraceae
Description: tRNA-OTHER
Rfam family: tRNA
About the family: Transfer RNA (tRNA) molecules are approximately 80 nucleotides in length. Their secondary structure includes four short double-helical elements and three loops (D, anti-codon, and T loops).
Source: RNAcentral